RNAcentral lists this ribosomal RNA (472 nucleotides) under uncultured bacterium. RNAcentral describes it as "bacterial SSU rRNA". It matches the Rfam family "Bacterial small subunit ribosomal RNA", at positions 8 to 524 of the family's 1533-position model. The record is from RNAcentral.
AGAGUUUGAUCCUGGCUCAGAACGAACGCUGGCGGCAGGCUUAACACAUGCAAGUCGAACGGGCGUAGCAAUACGUCAGUGGCAGACGGGUGAGUAACGCGUGGGAACGUACCUUUUGGUUCGGAACAACACAGGGAAACUUGUGCUAAUACCGGAUAAGCCCUUACGGGGAAAGAUUUAUCGCCGAAAGAUCGGCCCGCGUCUGAUUAGCUAGUUGGUGAGGUAAUGGCUCACCAAGGCGACGAUCAGUAGCUGGUCUGAGAGGAUGAUCAGCCACAUUGGGACUGAGACACGGCCCAGACUCCUACGGGAGGCAGCAGUGGGGAAUAUUGGACAAUGGGGGCAACCCUGAUCCAGCCAUGCCGCGUGAGUGAAGAAGGCCUUAGGGUUGUAAAGCUCUUUUGGCGGGGACGAUAAUGACGGUACCCGCAGAAUAAGCCCCGGCUAACUUCGUGCCAGCAGCCGCGGUAAU